RNAcentral lists this long non-coding RNA (696 nucleotides) under Sorghum bicolor (sorghum). Its description in RNAcentral is "long non-coding RNA (SBIC_LNC000532)". Lineage: Eukaryota; Viridiplantae; Streptophyta; Magnoliopsida; Poales; Poaceae. The record is from RNAcentral.
CCCGGCAACGGCGCCAAAAAUGCUUGUUGACACUUGCUAGCACCACUUGAAUACUAGGUUGUCAUCCCCAGCAUGGCACUAGAGUGUACUAUGAUAUUUAUACGCACACAGAUAAUCCGCAAGCGCAUGGAUACCGUUGAAGCUUUUAUCCGGUUAAAGGUUUUAUCGUAUCCACAGGGAAACAGGAGAACUGAUCUACGCUCUAACUUAACCAAGAUAAGUAAAUAAGUGUAAAUAGGAAAGAUGGUAGAAUCGAAUAAGAACAAUAUUAAAGGUAAGAUAACAGUGAGUGAUAAUAUGGGAAUAGAGAGUAGAGCAAUCUAGUAUAUGGGCGAUGGUAGCAGAAUAGAGAGGAUAACUAUGGUUUCUCUACUUCAAAGGGGUAUGUCUAUGUCUGGGACGAACCACGUGAUAAGAUUACACCACAAAGGAUGCUUAUCCAUAGGCCGAUAAACCCUACCCGUCCUGCUAACGGGAGGUGGACUAUAGAGGACCAACGUAACUGUUACCUACACGGCCUACCACACGAUCCAGCUAGACAGGGGAUAUCCACAAGUAAUUUAGAUCUAAGCACCUCGCUUACACCUAUACUACAACUCUCACCUAUAGCGUCCUAUAGAUUAGAAGUACUCAAAAGAGUUGUGAACCAGAACAUACAUGAUUAGUAAUUGCAUAAUGAAUUAGAAGUAGAUUACC